Molecule: ribosomal RNA, 484 nt
Filed under: uncultured bacterium
Lineage: Bacteria
Description: partial 16S ribosomal RNA
Rfam family: Bacterial small subunit ribosomal RNA
Source: RNAcentral
AUUGAACGCUGGCGGCAGGCCUAACACAUGCAAGUCGAGCGGAUGAAGGGAGCUUGCUCCUGGCUUCAGCGGCGGACGGGUGAGUAAUGCCUAGGAAUCUGCCUGGUAGUGGGGGAUAACGUCCGGAAACGGGCGCUAAUAUCGCAUACGUCCUGAGGGAGAAAGUGGGGGAUCUUCGGACCUCACGCUAUCAGAUGAGCCUGGGUCGGAUUAGCUAGUUGGUGGGGUAAAGGCCUACCAAGGCGACGAUCCGUAACUGGCCUGAGUGGGUGAUCAGACACACUGGAACUGAGACAGGGCCCAGACUCCUGCGGGAGGCAGCAGUGGGGAAUAUUCCGCAAUGGGAGAAAGCCUGACGGAGCAACGCGGCGUGAGUGAUGAAGGUCUUCGGAUUGUAAAACUCUGUUAUUAGGGAAGAAGAAAUGUGUAAGUACCUAUGCUUGUUUUGACGGUACCAAAUAAGAAAGCCACGGCUAGCUUCGUG